This 484-nucleotide ribosomal RNA is filed under the name uncultured bacterium. RNAcentral describes it as "partial 16S ribosomal RNA". It matches the Rfam family "Bacterial small subunit ribosomal RNA", at positions 29 to 523 of the family's 1533-position model. The record is from RNAcentral.
AGUGAACGCUGGCGGCGUGCUUAACACAUGCAAGUCGAACGAGAACGGAUUAUAGCUUGCUAUAAUUGUCAGCUAAGUGGCGCACGGGUGAGUAAUGUAUAGGUAAUAUGCCUCUUACUAAGGGAUAACAAAUGGAAACGUUUGCUAAUACCUUAUACUCCUUAUUAACAGAAGUUAAUAAGGGAAAGAUUUAUUGGUAAGAGAUUAGCCUGUAUUGUAUCAGUUAGUUGGUGGGGUAGUGGCGUACCCAGACGAUGACGCAUAACUGGUUUGAGAGGAUGAUCAGUCACACUGGAACUGAGACGCGGUCCAAGCUCCUACGGGAGGCAGCAGUGGGGAAUAUUGCACGAUGGACGAAAGUCUGAUGCAGCAACGCCGCGUGGAGGAUGACACAUUUCGGUGCGUAAACGCCUUUUAUAUAAGAAGAUAAUGACGGUAUUAUAUGAAUAAGCACCGGCUAACUCCGUGCCAGCAGCCGCCGCGG